AUUUAUCCAAGCGCACCUUCCAGUACGCUUACCAUGUUACGACUUAUCCUCUCUAUAUAAAUAUUAGGGCGUUUAGUUAAGAUAUUCCUUAAAUAUAUUUGAGAGGAGUGACGGGCGGUGUGUGCGCGCUUUAUGGCCUGGUUCAAUUAAGCACUCUAUUCUUAAUUUACUGCUAAAUCCUCCUUGGACCCUUAAAUUUCAUAAGGGUUUUCGUGGAAUUUUCUGAGACAGAAAAUGUAGCCCAUUUUUUACCGUCUCAUAGGCUACACCUUGACCUAACGUAUUCGCGGCGGCGGCGGCGUUUGCGCUCACUUUGUGACCUUCAUUAGGGUUUGCUGAAGAUGGCGGUAUAUAGGCUGAGCAAGAGAGGGUGGGGUGGAUCGGGGUUUAUCGAUUACGGAACAGGCUCCUCUAGGGGGAUGUAAAGCACCGUCAAGUCCUUUGAGUUUUAAGCUGUUGCUUGUAGUAUUCUGGCGAGUAGUUUUGUUAUCUAACUACUGAAGUUUAGGGCCAAGCAUAGUAGGGUGUCUAAUCCCAGUUUGGGUCCUGGCUAUUGUGUGUUCAGAAGCUUUAAAGCCACUUUCGUAGUUUAUUUUACAUCAGCUAGGGUUUUACAGUUUAGAUGGAGUUUAGCUUUAUUAUGUCAGAUCUUAAACACCCUCUACGCCGAUCUCUAUUAGCUAGGGUUAAUCGUGUAACCGCGGUGGCUGGCACGAAAUUGACCAACCCUAAAUAUAGCAUGGCUUAGUUGAACUUUCGUUUAUUGCUAAAUAUUUGUCACUGCUGUCUCCCGUGGGGGUGUGGCUAGGCAAAGCGUUUUGAGCUGCGUGUGCGUGCUUGAUGCUUGCUCCUCUUGGUCAUGAUGAUUUAUAGGGCGUCUUCACCGGAGCGGGGAUGCUUGCAUGUGUAAUCCUGCUAAGAGCUAAUAGAAAGGCCAGGACCAAGCCUAUUUGUUUAUGGGGUGUGCAAACCCAUCUAGGCAUUUUCAGUGUCUUGCUUUGGGUGGGUUUAAGCUACAUAAACAGAGGUGUCAGUACAAUUGUGGGGUAGUUUCUUUCGGGUUGUAUGAAAGGGGUCUGUUGUGGGUUGGUGUAGAGGGUGUUUAGUGAAGUAAAUGCUUAUUAGUUGAGGGAAUGGCAGUUGGAGUUGUGCACACCUAAAAGAUGAAAACAUAGGCUCUGAUCGGAUAUGUUAAGACUUUUGUUUUUGGGGUUUGGCAAGAGUGGGUUUUGGAUGAAGGUCGGAGAUGGGGGUGGGGGGGUUUGACGAGGUAUGGUUGUGGUUUAUGGCGCGAUGGGGGUGGUGUUGACUAGAAUGGUUAUUGGUAUGUCCUACAAGCAUGAAUUAAAUAACACCUUGCUGAAGUUUGUGUGGAGCUAGAAUAUUGAACGUAGGUGCGAUCAACAACUGCAUGUACUAGGAAUCAAAGACAGGUGCAUACAGGACGGGAUGUGGUGGGAGUCAGCAUUCUGCGAUGGGGUUGCGUGCAGACCAGAGAUAAAAGAUACCAAAUGCAUGGAAAUCUCCCGUGACUGGUUAAUAGGGUGAUAGACCCGUGAUCCAUCGAGAUGUCUUAUUUAAGGGGAACGUGUGGGCGAUCUUGGUUGUUAUGGCCCUGAGGUAAGAACCAGAUGCCGGAUACAGCUCAAGUAUAGCUACCCCCACGAGUUAUGGGCCCGGAGCGAGGAGAGUAGCACUCUUGUGCGGGAUAUUGAUUUCACGGAGGAUGGUGAAUAAGGGAUUCCUAAGUGAGGGGGGGCAUCCGUGGUGAAGAGGAUUAUUUAAUAGAUAUGUGCUAUGUCCAAUGAACGAUUUAAUGUACUAUGGACGGCUGGCAUAGACUGGUUUAGUUGGUAUCCAUGGGAGGGGACAAGUUGAAUUUGAGGAGAUCACGUUAUGUAUUACUGUUGAGGUCCGUGUUAGGGUGCUUGCUUGUAAGCAUGUUGUUCGGGAAUGUUGGGUUGAUAUGUAAUAAUAUGUGUUAUGUACAGUCAAGCAUAUAUAGUACUAUAUAUUAUACAUGCUGACUAGCAGUAAUGCACGAAUUACAUAGUAGUAUUGUGAGUAGGUUAGUAUCAGAAUUAUACUAUGAAGCUUAUGAAGCAUAAGAAUGCAGAAAGUAGUUUAAGUUAGAAUGCCAGCUUUGGGUGUUGGUGGUGGAGUUAGAUACUUUCUUUCUGACUGCCCUAGGAAGAGUGUUCAUUUCUAGUUUACAAGGCCAGUGUAUUAACUUAUACUACGAGGGC
This is a long non-coding RNA of Macaca fascicularis (crab-eating macaque), 2246 nucleotides long. Lineage: Eukaryota; Metazoa; Chordata; Mammalia; Primates; Cercopithecidae. The record is from Ensembl.